Non-coding RNA from Equus caballus (horse), 3927 nucleotides. Lineage: Eukaryota; Metazoa; Chordata; Mammalia; Perissodactyla; Equidae. The record is from RefSeq and is a predicted model, not a curated record.
UUGAAACCCUAGAUUUGCUAAAAAAAAAUUCCCAAUAGCAAAUUUUGUCUUAUUUCUUACAUUAAACUGCUAUCUAAAGUAACUUUUUAAAAUGUACUUUUGAGUUAGGCAGACUUUAUCGUUUACUUGCAGACAAGUUGCUUCACUCCGUUUCCUCUUUGGAGAAAUGAGGUUGAUGCCUAAUUCACAGAGUCGCUGGGAGGAUCAGGUGAGGUCAGGGGCCUAGUAGGGCUCCAGCUUCACCAUAGGCACUUUAUAAAUGUUUUCUUCUAUUUUCUUUUCCUCCAGCUUUAUUGAGAUCUUAUAUUUUAAAUCCUGAAAAAUGUAAUAUACUAUGUAUUUUAUACAUCAAGGCCUGAGAAUUCUCUUCUAAGUAAAGAGCAUAAGCAGUUUGGGACUCUUCACCCAACUCCUGUUUUGUUGCUCUGCCAUUUUCAAGAACCUCUGGGUUCCUGCUCAUGGUUCAUGAUGGCUGCUUCAGCUGUUGCCAACAUAUCUGUGUCCAAAUGAUCAAGAAGAGAGAAACGGACAAGGGUGAGACAUGACCACUAACAGCACGAUCUGCAAGACGCACAAAUUAUUUUUGCUUUUGUCCUGAACUUAGUCACAUGACCUGCAAGAGAGACUUGAAUAUGUCAUCUUUAGCUAUGUGACUGUGUACCUAGUUACGCUCCAGCUGCUCUGUUACUCAAGAAAGGGACGGUGAAUAUUGGGAGACAAGCAGGAGACUCUGCCACAGACUCAGAGAGAUAACCCAUUGUCCUAUCUAUGGCCUGCUGGCAGUGUUUUCAGAGAAAAGACUUGGUAGAUUUCCCAUCACACUCAUAAACACUCAGAGCUAUCGUAGCCUUCAAGAUUCCUGCAUAUCCCCGACUCUACCCUCAUCUAAAGUAGCGUCCCUAAACCACUCUGCUAUUCUCUUACCCUGUUUUCCCUCAUAGCAUUUACCACUACAUAUCACUAUAUAUUAUGUUUAUUGUUUGUCUUCUGCCCUAGAAUGAGUUCUCUGAAGGCAGAGACUUUGUUGUGUUGAUUACUACCUCCCGUGAACCUAGAAAAAUGCUUACUACUACAUGGUAAGCAGUCAGUAAUUGCAGCAUGAAUGAAUGUCCUUUCUCCCAACACUGACAGUGACUUGAGCAUAUUUAUUCCAUUAUUCAUGUAUUCAGUCCUUAUUUACAUGUACUAUGAGUAAACCACUAUGCUACAUAGUUUGAGGAGUAAAAAGUCUGGUUGCUUAUGAUUCCACUCUCAAUCUUAGUCUAGCAUGGGGAUUCUGGUUCAAAAUGGUGACAGGAAGAUCUUGAACUCACCUCCUCCCAUGGACACACUGAGCCUACAGCUACAUGUGGAAUAAUUUCCUCUUUAGAAAAUGGGAAGGCUGGCUGAGUGAUGUCUACCCAUUGGGUGAAUGAGAAGAAAAGCAUGUCAAAGAGGGUAGGAGAGGCUGGGACACAGUUUCACCAUAAAUCCCACCCCCAGCGUGGUGACCCACAGUCGGGAGGGAACUCAAAGCCAGAGCUUCUCCCUGAGGAGCAAAGAGUUCAAACCCCACAUAGGUCACCCCAACUUAUAAGACCUGCUCUUGUGGGACAAGCCCCCAAAACAUAUAACUUUGAAAACGAACAGGGCUCACAUCCCACUAUCCACAAGAUUAUAGCUAUCUGGGAAGUGGUUCAGACUCACCUGCCCCAGGGUGCAGCUCAGAGGCAGCCAGUCACGCCCAGACUUAAAGUGAAGGAGGCUCACCUGCUUAUAUUAAAGCAUCAGCCUGAGGGCCAGGCAUGUAAUUUACCACAUACAUCUAGGAGCCUGCUGGAGCACUCUCUGGGGCCUGGCUGGCACCAUCUUUGCACUCUCCCUUUGCCAUGCUCCAAAGCACCAGUAUCUCCCAGAAGGGAGCUUUGCAAGUGUCUGGUGCCCCAACUUUUACAGCUGCUGCCCAGGGGACGACUCUUGAUCACCUGGUUUUGGAGGCCAGGGGGACUUGCAUCCCUAGCCCCAUGGAACUGUAACAAUCAGUGUCACCCAGAAAGAAGCUUAUGUCCUUGUCUGGCACCCCGAAUUUUAUGGUUGCUGCCAGGGGACACCUACAUCACCUUGGUCUGGUGGCCAGUGAGGCUUACGCCUGUGGGUCACACAGGAUUGUAACCAAUGGAGAAAGCUACUCCCCCCAGGUAGACAGCUACUACCCCCAGGGCAGGGGGCAAGACGCAAGAGCUCGGUCGUUCUCUCAAGGAGGCCUGUUAAACAGCUAAUCAUCCUGGCUGCAGCCUAAGGGAGAGGCUUCUAAUUAAACACACAUCUAGAGGCUGUCAGUAAUUUUUCCAGAGACCUCAGAAGACAGAUGCUGUAUUCACAUUCCCUGUCUGCUGAGCUCCAGAGUGCCAGUGUCUCCUGUAGAGGAGCUUUACAUGUGUCUCGUGUCCCAGUUUUUGAGGCUGCCGCCCAGGGAACACACCACGAUCCCCUGGCUCUGGAGGCUGGGAGUUUGCAUUCCUGGGUCCCACAGGACUGUGGCAAUUGGAGAGACAGUUCUUGGCAAGCUACCACGUCCAGCGCACUGCACACACAGCAGACCGAGGCAUACUCCCCAGUCUUUCUGUGAAGGAGGCCUCUUUACUAGUCCUGGAGCUUCCACUUGAAGGGGCAUGCAUCGGGUUUGGCACAUAUCUAGUGGCCUACACAGCUGCUCUCAAGGAACAGGUUAUGGACACCAUCUUGGCACUCUCCCUCUGCUUUGCUCCAGCUCAACAUUAUCUCCCAGAAAAGAGCUUAUACACUCAUCUGGAACCCCAAUUUUUGUGACUGCUGCCCAGGGGACACCUCCAGAUCACCUGGGUCUGGUGGCCAGUGGGGCUUAUGCUUUUGGUCCCACAGGACUUAUAUAUUUGCAUACUUUUAAAAGCUGCUGUCUGAGGGUCUCCCAAUCAGCCUGAAUCUAGGUGCUGCAGUUCUCCCCUUAGGACACUGACAGGUCUUGGCACAUCCUCAGCUACUGGGAGCUAUUAAGAAUAUAAUAUGCUGCUUGUAUAAGCACAAAGGUUUGAGAGACAAGCAAGAGCUAGGGCAGAGUUGAAAGACAAGUUUAUCACCUACAUGAGGCUACUCUUUCAAGCCUGGGAGAGGUAGUUGUUUCAUCUACUGUAUAGAAACCAACGCAGAGAGUCAAGCAACAUGAAGAAACAAAGGAAUAUGUUUCAAAUGAAAGAAUAAGGUAAAACUUCAGGAAAAAACCUUAAUGAAACAAAGAUAAGUAAUGUACCUGACGGAGAGUUGAAAGUAACAGUUAUGACAAUGCUCACCAAACUGGGGAGACGAAUGGAUGAACACAAUGAGAAAACAAAAAGAUAGAAAAUGUAAGACAGUACCAGAUAGCCAGCCCUGGUGGUCUAGUGGUUAAGAUUCGGCACUCUCACUGCCAUGGCCUGGGUUUGUUUCGUGGUCAGAGAACCACACCACCUGUGUGUUGGUUCUCAUACUAUGGCAGCUGUCUGGUGCUGUGAUGCUGGAAGCUAUGCCACCAGUAUUUCAAAUACCAGCAGGGUCACCCAUGGUGGACAGGUUUCAGUGGAGUUUCCAGAGUAGGACAGACUAGUAAGAAGGACUUGGCCAUCCACUUCUGAAAACAUUGGCCAUGAAAACCUCAUGAAAGGCAGCAGAGCAUUGCCUGAUACAGCACCAAAAAGUGAGAGGGUGGCACAAAGUCUGUCAGGGUUCUGCUCUGCUGUACGCAAGGUCACUAAGAGUCACAGUUGACUUGAUGGCACUAACAACAAACCAAAUAGAAGUCACAGAGCUGAAGAACACAAUAACUGAACUGAAAAAUACACUACAGAAGUUCAACAGCAGACUAGAUGAAGCAGAAGAGUCAGUGAACUCAAAGACAAGGCAGUGGACCUCACCCAAUCAGAUCAGCAAAAAGAA